AAACUUAAGAGUUUGAUCCUGGCUCAGAUUGAACGCUGGCGGCAUGCUUUACACAUGCAAGUCGAACGGCAGCACGAGUGCUUGCACUUGGUGGCGAGUGGCGGACGGGUGAGUAAUACAUCGGAACGUAUCCUAAAGUGGGGGAUAACGCAUCGAAAGAUGUGCUAAUACCGCAUAUACUCUGAGGAGGAAAGUAGGGGAUCGAAAGACCUUAUGCUUUUGGAGCGGCCGAUGUCUGAUUAGCUAGUUGGUAAGGUAAUGGCUUACCAAGGCAACGAUCAGUAGUUGGUCUGAGAGGACGACCA
This 305-nucleotide ribosomal RNA is filed under the name Nitrosomonas sp. RNAcentral describes it as "partial 16S ribosomal RNA". It matches the Rfam family "Bacterial small subunit ribosomal RNA", at positions 1 to 306 of the family's 1533-position model. Lineage: Bacteria; Pseudomonadati; Pseudomonadota; Betaproteobacteria; Nitrosomonadales; Nitrosomonadaceae. The record is from RNAcentral.